UAGAUCUCAAAUCAGGUAGGACUACCCGCUGAACUUAAGCAU
Molecule: ribosomal RNA, 42 nt
Filed under: Rhodotorula sphaerocarpa
Lineage: Eukaryota; Fungi; Basidiomycota; Microbotryomycetes; Sporidiobolales; Sporidiobolaceae
Description: partial 26S ribosomal RNA
Source: RNAcentral